Molecule: ribosomal RNA, 815 nt
Filed under: uncultured bacterium
Lineage: Bacteria
Description: bacterial SSU rRNA
Rfam family: Bacterial small subunit ribosomal RNA
Source: RNAcentral
AGAGUUUGAUCAUGGCUCAGAACGAACGCUGGCGGCGUGGAUAAGACAUGCAAGUCGAACGCUGAUUUCAGGGUAGCAAUAUUCUGGAGUCGGAGUGGCGCAAGGGUGCGUAACACGUGGGUAAUUUGCCGUGAAGUUGGGGAUAACUCGCUGAAAGGCGAGCUAAUACCGAAUGUGAAAAUUGGAAGGCAUCUUUUGAUUUUCAAAGUUGGGGACCGCAAGGCCUGACGCUUCACGAUAAGCCCGCGGCCUAUCAGCUAGUUGGUGAGGUAACGGCUCACCAAGGCUAAGACGGGUAGCUGGUCUGAGAGGACGACCAGUCACACUGGAACUGAGACACGGUCCAGACACCUACGGGUGGCAGCAGUCGAGAAUUUUUCUCAAUGGGCGAAAGCCUGAAGGAGCGACGCCGCGUGGGGGAUGAAGGGCUUCGGCUCGUAAACCCCUGUCAUUUGCGAACAAACCCCGCGACCUAACACGUCGCGGGCUGAUAGUAGCGAAAGAGGAAGGGACGGCUAACUCUGUGCCAGCAGCCGCGGUAAUACAGAGGUCCCAAGCGUUGUUCGGAUUCACUGGGCGUAAAGGGUGCGUAGGUGGCGGGGUAAGUUUGAUGUGAAAUCUCCGGGCUUAACCCGGAAAUGGCAUUGAAUACUAUUCUGCUGGAGGGUUGGAAGGGAGACUGGAAUUCUCGGUGUAGCAGUGAAAUGCGUAGAUAUCGAGAGGAACACCAGUGGCGAAGGCGAGUCUCUAGGACGGUACUGACGCUGAGACGCGAAAGCGUGGGGAGCGAACAGGAUUAGAUACCCCAGUAGUCC